RNAcentral lists this transfer RNA (72 nucleotides) under Bos taurus (domestic cattle). It matches the Rfam family "tRNA". Rfam says of the family: Transfer RNA (tRNA) molecules are approximately 80 nucleotides in length. Lineage: Eukaryota; Metazoa; Chordata; Mammalia; Artiodactyla; Bovidae. RNAcentral also lists the same sequence under 1 other name. The record is from Rfam by way of RNAcentral.
UCCCUGGUGGUCCAGUGGCUAGGACUCUGCACUGCCAAUGCAGUGACUCUGGUUUGAUCCCUGGUCAGGGAG